Oncorhynchus tshawytscha (Chinook salmon) is the source of this 369-nucleotide long non-coding RNA. Lineage: Eukaryota; Metazoa; Chordata; Actinopteri; Salmoniformes; Salmonidae. The record is from Ensembl.
CCCCCUCUCUCCCUGGCCUGUCUCCCCCUGUCUGGUACAGGUACCUCCACCACAUUCACCCCUCUCUCCCUGGCCUGUCUCCCCCUGUCUGGUACAGGUACCCCCACCACACUCACCCCUCUCUCCCUGGUCUGUCUCCCCCUGUCUGGUACAGGUACCUCCACCACACUCCCCCUCUCUCCCUGGCCUGUCUCCCCCUGUCUGGUACAGGUACCUCCACCACACUCACCCCUCUCUCCCUGGUCUGUCUCCCCCUGUCUGGUACAGGUACCUCCACCACACUCACCCUCUCUCUGUUCACCGUCUGCCGUGGCCUCUCUCCCCCUGUCUGGUACAGGUACCCCACCUCACUCCCCUCUCUCUCCUGAG